UCCGGUUUGGCACCGGCAGUCUCCCUAGAGUUCCCGGCAUGAUCCGCUAGCCCUAUAACGACACGGGCUUUCACCCGCUUUAACUAGCAUGUCAAGCCUAGGUAAGGUUCUUCGCGUUGCAUCGAAUUAAGCCACAUGCUCCGCCGCUUGUGCGGGCCCCCGUCAAUUCCUUUGAGUUUUAGCCUUGCGGCCGUACUCCCCAGGCGGAACACUUAUCGCGUUGGCUUCGGCACAGACAGAUUCGACUCCGCCCACACCUAGUGUUCAUCGUUUACGGCGUGGACUAC
Molecule: unclassified non-coding RNA, 287 nt
Filed under: uncultured Actinomycetes bacterium
Lineage: Bacteria; Bacillati; Actinomycetota; Actinomycetes
Description: uncultured actinobacterium contains 16S-23S intergenic spacer region
Source: RNAcentral